CAGUAGCCACGGGAAUACGUAGGGGGCAAGCGUUGUCCGGAAUUAUUGGGCGUAAAGGGCUCGCAGGCGGUUUCUUAAGUCUGAUGUGAAAGCCCCCGGCUCAACCGGGGAGGGUCAUUGGAAACUGGGAAACUUGAGUGCAGAAGAGGAGAGUGGAAUUCCACGUGUAGCGGUGAAAUGCGUAGAGAUGUGGAGGAACACCAGUGGCGAAGGCGACUCUCUGGUCUGUAACUGACGCUGAGGAGCGAAAGCAUGGGGAGCGAACAGGAUUAGAUACCCGCGUAGUCCCUGUCUCUUAUAA
Molecule: ribosomal RNA, 301 nt
Filed under: uncultured bacterium
Lineage: Bacteria
Description: partial 16S ribosomal RNA
Rfam family: Bacterial small subunit ribosomal RNA
Source: RNAcentral